This 87-nucleotide microRNA precursor is filed under the name Megaselia scalaris. RNAcentral's name for it is "mir-276 microRNA precursor family". It matches the Rfam family "mir-276 microRNA precursor family". The record is from Rfam by way of RNAcentral. Lineage: Eukaryota; Metazoa; Arthropoda; Insecta; Diptera; Phoridae.
UCUGCUUUGUACCAUAAGCGAGGUAUAGAGUUCCUACUUGAUUAUUGAGUUUGUAGGAACUUCAUACCGUGCUCUUGGAGAGCUAGU